UGGGGGAUAUUGCACAAUGGGCGCAAGCCUGAUGCAGCGACGCCGCGUGGGGGAUGAUGGCCUUCGGGUUGUAAACUUCUUUUGCUCUGAACAAGGCGCACUUUGGGGUGUGUUGAGUGUAGGGGUUGAUUAGCGCCGGCUAACUACGUGCCAGCAGCCGCGGUAAUACGUAGGGCGCGAGCGUUGGCCGGAAUUAUUGGGCGUAAAGGGCUUGUAGGUGGCUGGUUGCGUCUGUCGUGAAAGCUCAUGGCUUAACUGUGGGUUUGCGGUGGGUACGGGCUGGCUUGAGUGCAGUAGGGGAGGCUGGAAUUCCUGGUGUAGCGGUGGAAUGCGCAGAUAUCAGGAGGAAUACCGGUGGCGGAGGCGGGUCUCUGGGCUGUUACUGACACUGAGGAGCGAAAGCAUGGGGAGCGAACAGG
This 419-nucleotide ribosomal RNA is filed under the name bacterium. RNAcentral describes it as "partial 16S ribosomal RNA". It matches the Rfam family "Bacterial small subunit ribosomal RNA", at positions 355 to 776 of the family's 1533-position model. The record is from RNAcentral.